Molecule: non-coding RNA, 72 nt
Filed under: Ruminococcus gauvreauii
Lineage: Bacteria; Bacillati; Bacillota; Clostridia; Eubacteriales; Oscillospiraceae
Description: Cyclic di-GMP-I riboswitch
Rfam family: c-di-GMP-I riboswitch aptamer
About the family: GEMM was predicted in a large-scale screen for bacterial structured RNA regulatory elements.
Source: RNAcentral
AUGGCAAACAGGCGGAAGCCUGUGACGCAAAACUACAGGGUCUAAGCGAUUAAGUACGACAGCCAGUUGCAG